UAUGUGGUUUAAUUCGAUGCAACGCGAAGAACCUUACCUGGUCUUGACAUCCCGGAGACCCUUAGGAAACUAGGGGGUGCUUCCAUCUGGAAGAAUCUGGAGACAGGUGCUGCAUGGCUGUCGUCAGCUCGUGUCGUGAGAUGUUGGGUUAAGUCCCGCAACGAGCGCAACCCUUGCCUUUAGUUGCCAGCAGUUCGGCUGGGCACUCUAAAGGGACUGCCGGUGUUAAACCGGAGGAAGGUGGGGAUGACGUCAAGUCCUCAUGGCCUUUAUGACCAGGGCUACACACGUACUACAAUGGCCGAUACAAAGGGCAGCGACACUGCGAGGUGAAGCCAAUCCCGUAAAAUCGGUCUCAGUCCGGAUUGGAGUCUGCAACUCGACUCCAUGAAGUUGGAAUCGCUAGUAAUCGUGGAUCGGCAUGCCACGGUGAAUACGUUCCCGGGCCUU
RNAcentral lists this ribosomal RNA (450 nucleotides) under uncultured Desulfobulbus sp. Its description in RNAcentral is "bacterial SSU rRNA". It matches the Rfam family "Bacterial small subunit ribosomal RNA", at positions 938 to 1382 of the family's 1533-position model. The record is from RNAcentral. Lineage: Bacteria; Pseudomonadati; Thermodesulfobacteriota; Desulfobulbia; Desulfobulbales; Desulfobulbaceae.